AAGGUACUUCCCCUCCUAGAGUUACACAAUCUUCCCACCACCACCUAUCACAAAGUGAAAAAUAUGAGCUUUUUAAGAAAGGAGAAUGUCUCAGUGAACACACAGUAUGGUCCUUCCUUUACCAUGAAAGUGGGUAUCCAAAUGGUAUGAGGAGAGAUGCUGUUAUAGACCAGAUGGCAGCACUCUUCCCUAAUGGUACAGAUGAUCACUGUUUGUGUACCAAGAGUUUUGAUCUACAUUACAGUGGAGGCCAAGAUAGAACAGCUUGAGACUGUGCAAGGCAUUCCCAUAGUAUCCCGUAUAGAAGUGCUAUAUCACAUUUCCUCAACCAUAUGAAUAUUGCUCAACCAACGCCGCAAUCUUGCCAUUCGCAUACAGCUGUUUGGCAGGAACUUACUCAGAUUGUAGAACACAACCGUAAUGGUCACAACUGUGCAGAGAACUUGAUACGACAUUUGAAUGGUAAUUUACUAUGUUUGUUGGUUGAAAU
Long non-coding RNA from Saccostrea echinata, 490 nucleotides. RefSeq lists it as uncharacterized. The transcript is spliced from 7 exons. NCBI's taxonomy places the organism in Eukaryota, Metazoa, Mollusca, Bivalvia, Ostreida, Ostreidae. The record is from RefSeq and is a predicted model, not a curated record.